RNAcentral lists this ribosomal RNA (495 nucleotides) under uncultured bacterium. RNAcentral's name for it is "bacterial SSU rRNA". It matches the Rfam family "Bacterial small subunit ribosomal RNA", at positions 29 to 501 of the family's 1533-position model. The record is from RNAcentral.
AACGAACGUUAGCGGCGCGCUUAACACAUGCAAGUCGCACGAGAAAGGGCUUCGGCCCCGGUAAAGUGGCGCACGGGUGAGUAACACGUGGAUAACCUACCCUUGAGCAGGGGAUAACAUCCCGAAAGGGGUGCUAAUACCGCAUAAGACCACGGCUCCGAAAGGAGCUGAGGUAAAAGCUGGCCUCUAUAUAUAAGCUAGCACUUGAGGACGGGUCCGCGGCGCAUCAGGUAGUUGGCGGGGUAAUGGCCCACCAAGCCUUAGACGCGUAGCUGGUCUGAGAGGAUGAUCAGCCACACUGGAACUGAGACACGGUCCAGACUCCUACGGGAGGCAGCAGUGGGGAAUCUUGCGCAAUGGACGAAAGUCUGACGCAGCGACGCCGCGUGUGUGAUGAAGGCCUUGGUCGUAAGCACUGUGGGAGAGAAGAAUAAGCAAAGGACCAAUAACCCUUUCGUGAUGACGGUAGUACUCCUUAGUCAAGCACCGGCUAAC